Molecule: ribosomal RNA, 432 nt
Filed under: uncultured bacterium
Lineage: Bacteria
Description: partial 16S ribosomal RNA
Rfam family: Bacterial small subunit ribosomal RNA
Source: RNAcentral
AACGAACGCUGGCGGCAUGCCUAACACAUGCAAGUCGAACGAGACCUUCGGGUCUUGUGGCGCACGGGUGCGUAACGCGUGGGAACCUGCCCUUAGGUUCGGAAUAACUCCCCGAAAGGGGUGCUAAUACCGGAUAAUGUCUUCGGCCCAAAGAUUUAUCGCCUUUGGAUGGGCCCGCGUUGGAUUAGCUAGUUGGUAGGGUAAAAGCCUACCAAGGCGACGAUCCAUAGCUGGUCUGAGAGGAUGAUCAGCCACACUGGGACUGAGACACGGCCCAGACUCCUACGGGAGGCAGCAGUGGGGAAUAUGGGACAAUGGGCGAAAGCCUAAGCCAGCAAGGCCGCGUGAGUGAUGAAGGCGUUAGGAUUGUAAAGCUCUUUUACCCGGGAUGAUAAUGACAGUACCGAGAAAAUAAGCUCCGGCUAACUCCGU